Long non-coding RNA from Esox lucius (northern pike), 1077 nucleotides. RefSeq lists it as uncharacterized. The record is from RefSeq and is a predicted model, not a curated record. The transcript has 3 exons. NCBI's taxonomy places the organism in Eukaryota, Metazoa, Chordata, Actinopteri, Esociformes, Esocidae.
CUUCCCACUGCGGAGACGGGAGAUUGUGGAGGCUGAACCUCCAGUGAAAACCCUGAAGGAGCCAGCUCUUUUUACAGAGAGACAAGUGUUUGUUGAGUUCAAGAGGAUAGCUAUGACAAACCUGGAGAAUUAUUUUUUUGAUGCUGUUGACCGCUACACACCAUGCUUUGUCACAAUCUUCAAGUCCAAGAAAGGAAGUGUUGGAGAGAAACUGGCUGAGAUUGUGCAGCAAAUUGAUUGAAGGGAUUCUGAGAGUGAUGAGGCCUGGGCCCAGGUAUCUGUUGGGUUGCUGACUAUCAUCAGCGAAGAUGCGCCUCUCUCUCCAAAUCAUCUCCAUCUUGACCCAGUGUCUACUGCCAUCAUUCUUGAAGGAGGUAUAGUAGUGGACAAUCUCCAGAACCUACCCCAAGCACUUUGCCUCUUGUUUGGGUUGUCAUAUGCACUACACUUGGACUACCCUAAAGCCAUGAAAAACACAUUCUACUUCAUUCAACGAGUGAUGCUUGGCCUGGGAGAGAACAAACUCCCCCAAACUUCAAACUCUUAAAAAUCCUCUGAGUUAGAAUUGUAAAAAUCAAGAGUGAUAUUUGGCAUACAAUCUUAUUUGUUUAUAAAAGUGGGUCCAGUUGCUUUUAAUUGUUAACUAAAUUAAGGCACUCCUUUCAAAUUGUUUUAUAUCAGCCACUGGGUUCAUCAGCAAGUUACAUUUAGAGGCUGCAGGUGUAUGGUCAUUCAUACACGAGAUUGGUUGCCGUAGUCAUUAUUGUACACUAACCUGAUGUCACUUGUACUUGUCAGCAGGUUGAUUCUGUCAGAAUUUUGGUCUUUAAACUUUAUUGUAAUUACAAAAGUAAAGCAGUUGUUCAGGAUUAUGUUAAAUUAAAAGUCAGGGUUGGAAUUUUCUUUCCACAAAUGACAAAUGUAUGUCUUUUUAUAAAGCCAAAUACAUUGGCUGCCAAUUAUUACUGGAAGAUUAUGGAAGAAAAAUUUUGGUACCGAUGUAUCCCCCGCAGAUAUGCAAACAUUCAGUCCAACAGAGUCCGUUGUUCUCACCCAUUGGUGUUGCUUUCACUCUGU